Molecule: ribosomal RNA, 253 nt
Filed under: uncultured microorganism
Description: partial 16S ribosomal RNA
Rfam family: Bacterial small subunit ribosomal RNA
Source: RNAcentral
UACGUAGGGUGCGAGCGUUAAUCGGAUUUACUGGGCGUAAAGCGUGCGCAGGCGGCCCGUUAAGACAGUUGUGAAAGCCCUGGGCUCAACCUAGGAAUUGCGCUUGUGACUGGCGGGCUCGAGUACGGUAGAGGGGGGUGGAAUUCCUGGUGUAGCAGUGAAAUGCGUAGAGAUCAGGAGGAACACCGAUGGCGAAGGCAGCCCCCUGGGCCUGUACUGACGCUCAUGCACGAAAGCGUGGGGAGCAAACAGG